Long non-coding RNA from Mauremys reevesii (Reeves's turtle), 317 nucleotides. RefSeq lists it as uncharacterized. The transcript is spliced from 3 exons. Lineage: Eukaryota; Metazoa; Chordata; Testudines; Geoemydidae. The record is from RefSeq and is a predicted model, not a curated record.
GGCUAUCCUGGCCAUGACAGACUGAGAGGCCAACUGCCUACCAGGACAGGAGCUCUUUGGAGAAAGGACUGGAGGAAGUGGUGAAAAAAGACUAAAACAUGAAUAAUCUUGUGAGUGAACAGGAGGUAACUGAGAGAGGUGUUUAUAAUGAGGUUGUUUCCCUCCUGGCACACAUGGAUGACCAAGAUAAGGACAGAAUUGCCCUCAGGAUUGCCUCUAUAGCUAAGACCAAGCUGGCUAGUGUUGUGAGAGUUCUGCUGGAGAAACUGCAACAGGAUAAGCAAAACAGAGUAGCCAUUUACUAUAUCCUGGAGGGG